UUAUAAAUAAAUUAAACGUGAAUUAUUUGAGAUGAGGCUCGAUAAAAGCUCAACUUAUUUUAGUUCGUUUGCUAAACGAACCAAGUUUGAGAUUAUUAAUAUUUGGCUCGAGUUUAAAAUGAGUAAAGCUUAAGUUCGGAAGUUCGGCUCGAUUGUGAAAAAUUAAAAUGUGAAUCAAAUUUGAGAUCUUCAAAGCUCGGCUCCAUUUGAUUCGGUUCAUUUACACCUAUUUUUUCUCAAAGGAGGCCUGCCUAUGUUAAACAACAACUAAUAUUUAUAGACUUCUAUGUUCUUUGUUUUGAAGGUGGAUAGUGUUGUAUGUAUGGUUUGAACUUUCAUAGACUAACUACCAAUUCUAUAGUUCUUGGUCUCUAAUAUGAUAGUGAAGCAUUUUAGAGUAUUUUUUUUAUUUCACUCUUCAUCUUUACAAGUGAUUUACAUGACUAUUUAUACACAAAGAAUUAUUACUAAACAAAAUUAUAACUAAACAAGAAGCAAAUAAUCAAAUAAUAAUUAAAGAGAUAAUUAAGGGUUCUAAUCAAAUCAAAUUAUAUCCUUAGAAUCAGCAAAUAAGUCAGCACUCCCCCUGAAGUUGGUGCAUAAAUGUUGUACAUAUCCAACUUGCAAAUCAGAUUAUGGUACAUUUUAUUGUUGAGUCAUUUAGUAAACACAUCCGCAAGUUACCCAGUAAAAGUCACAUGAACUAAGUUCAAGACACCGUCCAUUAAUUUUUCUUUAAUGGAAUACCGAUUAAUCUCAAUGUGCUUCGUUCGCUUAUAUUGGACUAAAUUUUGUGCUAUACUGAUGGCAGCUUUAUUGUCACAAUACAAAGUUAUCUUGUCUCUCUCGGGCAACAUUAGCUCCUUUCAAUAACUUUUGCAACCAUGAAAGUGCACACACACUUUGGCUAUUGCUCUGUAUUCUGCUUUAGUACUUGACCGGAUAAUAACACUUUGUUUUUUGCUCCUCCGUGAUAAGGUUCAUUUCCACAACUGUGCACUAGCCAGAGGUGGAUCUCCUGGCAUCGAGAGAUCCUGUCUAAUCUGCAUCUCUAAAAGUUUCAAUUUGGAGGUGACCAUGUUUGGAAUAAAAAAGCCCUUUCCCUGACGCAGACUUUAGGUAUCUCAAGAUGCAAAGUGCAGCCUACAUAUGAGUCUUGCGAGGGUCAUGCAUGAAUUGGCUAAGCUAACAACAUAGGCUAUAUCCAAUCGAGUGUGAGAGAGAUAAAUCAACCAACCUACCAAUCUCUGGUAUCUUUCAAUAUUCAGGGACUCACCAGUUCUUGCUUGCAUCUUGUGAUUACUUUUAAUAGGAGAUUCUGCUGGUUUACACUUAACAUACCAACUUCUUCUAAAAGAUCCAGAAUGUACUUUUUUUGGGAGAUGAAGAUUUCUUUUUCUGAUUUAACCACUUCAAUAACUAGGAAAUAUUACAGCUUUUCUAGAUCUUUGAUUUCAAAUUCUUGAGUCAUUUCCUCUUUGUCAUCAUCUGUCACCACGAUAUUAUCAACAUACACAAUAAGAAAAGUGAUUUUACCCUUGUGAUGUUUAAUAAACAGAGUGUUAUCAGCAUUGCUCUGAUGGUAAUCAAAGGACAUCAUGGCUCUGCUAAACCUAUCAAACCAAGCUCUCGGAGAUUGUUUUAGCCCAUACAAAACCUUUUUUAACCUGCACCUUUUUUUUGUGUCUUCUCAUCAGUGAAUCCAAGAGGGAUCUCCAUGAACACUUCUUCUAAAUCUCUAUGGAGGAAAGCAUUCUUCAUAACAAACUGCUGUAAGUUCGAAUCCAAAUUGGCUGCACAAGAUAAUAGGACUCUGACCCGUUAGAAAUAGGGCGUUUAGUACAAUAUCUGACCCGUUUUCUUUGUACAAUAGGUUUAUUUAAAUCAUUCGAGCAUUCAAGAAUUAUGGGUAACUCACGAGAAGAAGAUUUUUGACUCUGAGUAGACUGCAUAAUGUCUUCUUUUGCCUUGUCUCUCCUCGAAUACCUCCUCAAAUCUGACUUGUCCAAAUGUCCAAUUCUUGCCCCUUGAUUGGACAUGUCCCCCUGUCUACUAGAACUCGAACUCUCUAGUUGAACCAUAUCAUUCAGAAUCACAGAAUUCGGGGUCACCUCUUUUUGCUUAUUAUUCUCUCCCGAAAGAGGUGAGUGGGUAGUACUGAAGUAGGGUUCAGUUUCUUGAAAGGUAAUAUCCAUACUAAUAAAGUAUUUUCUAGAUGGAGGGUGAUAACACCUAUAUCGCUUUAGUAUCGGAGAAUAACCAACAAACACAUAUUUAAGGGUCUUGGGGUCUAAUUUUCCCACCGUUCUAGAAUAGAUAAAGCAAACACACCCAAAUACUUUUAGUGGAACAAUGCAUAAAUUCUUCCCUUGUAGAACCUCCAAAGGACUCAUAAAGUCAAGGGUCUUAAGGGGUAUUCUAUUGAUAAGAUAAGCAGAUACAAGGAGUGUAUCUCCCCAAUAUGCUUUGGGUAGGUUCAUGGUGAACAUAAGAGAUCGAGCUACCUCCAAUAGAUGCCUCUUUUUCCUUUCAACAAUGCCAUUUUGAGCACUAGUAUAAGAACAACUUGUCUGGUGUACUGUCUCAUUAUUCUCUAAAUAAGCAAAAAACUUACUAUCCAUGUAUUCUUUUCCAUUGUCAGUUUUCAAAAUUUUAACCUUAGUAUCAAAUUGAGUAUAAAUCAUCUUGUGAAAGAAUGGAAAACAAGAAAAUACAUCACUUUUAGCUUUAAUCAAAUAGAUCCAAGUCAUUCAAGUGCAACAAUCAAUAAAGGUGAGAAACCAUCGAUUAUCAAAUAAGGAGAUAGUUUGAGUAGGCCCCUAAACAUCAGAAUGAAUAGUUGCAAAAGGAAUUUGGCUUUUAUUAUGACUCAAAGGAUAAAAGGUUCUAAUGUGCUUAGUAUACUCACAAGCAUCACAAAAUAAAGAACCAAACUGAGUUCUAGCAAACAAACUAGGAUAAAGUUUUUUUAAGACAAAAGAUUAUGGAUGUUCUAAUCACCUGUGCCACUGUAUUAUUUCCUGAUUGACAUCCUUAUUUUCUCCAAAAUAGGUUUGAGAUAUCGGAGAACCUGGAUCACCUUCCAACACAUAUAAUGAUACGAGCAAGGAAAUGGCACGAUGCUUCAAAGAUUUAAAAUGGGAAACUCCAAAUCAUGACAAAUCAAGCUACCAUCGUUUAAUUCAAGGUUUACGAGAUGACAACUAUAUUUGAGAAGCAUGGGAGAAUAAGGAAAUAAGCAACACACUCUUCAAUACAUGUAGACGCGCAACAUAAUUUCAAAUUGUGUAAUGCAUGUAUAACCAAAUUGCAUUUAGGCCAAUUUUGUUAUUUUGAUAUUUUAGUAUUUUUUAGGAUUUGUUUUAAAUUAAUUUGGCCUAUAUUAGAAGCCAAAUUCGUGCAGCCCAUUUAGGAACAAGAUUUCUCCAAGAUAAUUUAAGAAAAUGAUCUUUAAUGUAAUCCAAGUUUGACUAUUUGACUAGAUAUCCUUCCUAUAUUGUAAUUACACCUUCCUACAAUAGAAUUAGGGUUUGAAGGCUAUAAAAACACCCUUAAGGUAGCAGCCACAAGAGGCCAAUAAAUAAAAGAUGAUGGUAUGAACAAUAUUUUGGUUCUUCUCCAUUUUUAGCAAUUUAUCAAGGUUUAACCUUGUGGCAUUCUAAUAUGGAUCUCCUCCAUGCUUAGUUAACUUAUCAAGAAUUUCUUGUGGCUUUCUCUGUUAUAAGUUAUAGAAAGUAAAUAUGUUAAUACAAGAAGUAAAUAUUGAUAGAUGGGUCAGUUGCUUAAUCUUAGAGAUUGUAUAAUCAUAGUCUUGAUUUUUCUUCCUAUUUAGAUACCGUCUCUCAUGUAUAAAUAGGUUGUAAUCUCUAUUGUAAAAUACAACAACAAAUAUUAUCUUUAUACAUGGUAUCAGAAUCUUUCUCGUAGAGAUUUAAUUUUUUUUUUCUCUCUAUUCAAGUUUUUUAAAAAAAAAAAUUUGGAGACUUAGGGCUCUGUUCAUUUGGGUUACCCAUAAAGGGUAACAUUUGGAUCUCACCAUCGCUGGAGUUGCCACAUCGUUCCUUUGUCAGAUCUGAGAUUUGUUUGCCGUUCGGGUUUUGUUCAUCGGUACUGUUCACAGGGGUACUGUUCACGAGUACUGUUCAUCGGUACUGUUCACGCCGGUACUGUUCACGUCGGGUACUGUUUUCUGAUUCUGAGUUUCUUUUGUUGCUAUCGUUUUGGGUUGGUUGUCCUUAUGGAUGAAGUUAAAACCACCACUGUAACUGAUGUGAUUCCUAUGAUGACUAAAAUCACGAAACACAAAUUGAAUGGAUCUUCCGAUCAGGGAAUUUUGAUAUCUGCAGAUGAGUAUGCACAAUUCAUCCAAUACCAGGCGUCUCUAAAAUCUUCUAAUUCCUCCUCUAUCACUGCAAUUGCCGAGUCAGGUAACUCUGCUGCAUGUUUUGAGUCUUCAUCCUCCAAAUGGGUUAUUGAUUCUGGUGCUACCGAUCAUAUGUGAGGUAAUUCUACCCUUUUGUCUAAUCUUGAGUCUCAUACAUCGCCUUCUUAUGUUACUCUUGCUGAUGGCACUAAAUCUUCUGUCAUGGUUUCUGGUCAUGUCAACUUAACCCUUCUCUUUCUGUAUCCUCUGUAUUAUGUCUCCUUAAAUUCGAUUUAAUUGCUUUCCGUUAGUAAACUCACUCGUGCAUUGAAUUGUUGUGUCUCAUUCUUUCCUGAUUACUGUGUUUUUCAGGAUCUUUCGACGAAGCAGAUUAUUGGUAGAGGGAGUAAGUUAGAGGGACUUUACGUCUUGGAUCAGCAACUACCUCGAUCUCCUCGAUCUCUGGUAUGUUCCACGCGUUUAACACCUUUUGAUGUUCAUUGUCGUUUGGGGCAUCCUUCUCUCUCGGCUUUGAAGAAGUUAUAUCCACAGUUUUAUUCUUUGUCUAUUCUAGAUUGUGAGUCUUGUCAAUUUGCCAAAUUCGUUUACCUAUACUGUCUCGAGUCAAUAAACGGACUUCGUCCCCCUUUGAGUUAGUCCAUUCAGAUGUUUGGGGUCCUUGUCCUAUUGUGUCUAAGUUUGGCUUUAAGUAUUUUGUUACUUUUGUUGAUGAUUUCUCUUGUACUACUUGGUUAGUUUUUCAUGAAGAGUCGUUCAGAAUUAUUUUCUAUUUUUUGUGCAUUUUAUGUUGAAAUCCAAACCCAAUUCAAUACUUCCAUCCGUAUAUUGCAAAGUGAUAAUGCUAAAUAGUAUCUCUCUGGGGAAUUUCAAUCUUAUUUGUUAUAAAAAGGGAUUCUUCAUCAGUCCUCUUGUGUUGCCACUCCUUCACAAAAUUGAGUUGCUGAAAGAAAAAAUCGACAUCUUGAAGUAGCCAGAGCCCUCUUAUUCCAAAUGAAGGUACCUAAAUGUUUUUGGGUUGAUGCUGCAUCCACUGCUUGUUUUUUGAUCAAUCGCAUACCUUCCUCCAUCCUUCAUGGUGAUAUCCCUUAUAACAUUUUAUUUCCUACUAAAUCUUUGUUUUGUACUUGUUUUGUUCGUGAUGUUCGUCCACAGGUUACUAAAUUGGAUCCCAAAUCACUCAAAUGUGUCUUCCUUGGCUACUCUCGACGUUAGAAAGGGUAUCGUUGUUUUUCUCCUGAUCUGAAUCGGUAUCUUGUGUCUGCGGAUAUAACAUUCUUUGAGUCCACUCCGUUUUUUCCGCCAUCAUCUGUUUAUAACAACCAUGAGGAGGAAGAUGACCUCUUGUUAUACAUUGUUCGCUCUGUCUCCUCAGACUACUCCUACACCUUUCGCUCAUGUGCCAGGUCGCCCUCCCAUCUUUCAUGUGUAUUCCAGACGCUUAGAGGACUCUGACUCUGUUCCGCUACCCGCUUCUUCGUCGAUCGAUCCUGCUCCCACUGAUCCUUCACUACCUGAUUUGGAUUUGCCCACUGCUCAUCGCAAAGGUAAAUGUACUUGCACUUAUCCUAUUUCAUCUUGUGUCUCUUAUGAUCAAUUAUCCUCCUCUUCUUGUUGUUUUGCCACUGCUUUAGAUUCUAUUUCAAUUCCCAAAACUGUUAUUGAGGCUUUGUCCCAUCCUGGUUGGCGUGCUGCAAUGGAAGUGGAAAUGAUGGCCCUUGACACUAAUGGUACUUGGGAGUUGAUGUCCUUGUCCCCAGGAAAGAGGGCUAUUGGGUGCAAAUGGGUGUUUGCAGUGAAAGUAAACCCUGAUGGAUCUAUUGCUCGCCUCAAGGCCCGUUUAGUGGCCAAAGGUUAUGCACAAACUUAUGGAGUUGACUAUUCUGAUACAUUCUCCCCAGUUGCCAAGCUCGCAUCUAUCCGAUUGUUUAUUUCCUUGGCGGCUACUCACGAUUGGCCUUUGCAUCAACUGGAUAUUAAAAAUGCUUUUCUUCAUGGUGAUCUUUAGGAGGAGGUUUAUAUUGAGCAACCACCUGGUUUUGUUGCUCAGGGGGAGUUAGGUAAGGUUUGUAGACUUCGAAAAUCCCUUUAUGGGUUGAAAUAGAGUCCUCGGGCAUGGUUUGGCAGGUUUAGUGAGGUGGUCCAACAGUUUAGAAUUAAGAUGAGUAAGUGUGAUCACUCAGUGAUUUAUAGAAGUUCUGAUAGUGGAGUAAUUCUGCUUGUAGUAUAUGUGGAUGAUAUCGUUAUUACAGAAAGUGACAUUACUGGCAUCACAUCCCUAAAAGAAUUUCUUAAAACACAAUUUCGUACAAAGGAUUUGGGUUCCUUGAAAUAUUUAUUGGGAAUUGAAGUUAUGCGGUGUAAGAAAGGCAUCUUCUUAUCUCAAAGAAAAUAUGUUCUUGAUUUGUUGGCAGAAACAGGGAAAUUGGGUGUUAAGCCUUGUAGUGCCCCAAUGACCCCCAACCUUCAACUUACUACAGAAGACAGUGAGCCAUUUGCAGAUCUUGGAAGGUAUAGAAGAUUAGUUGGCAAGCUGAAUUAUUUGAUGGUGACUCGUCUUGAUAUUGCAUAUUCAGUGAGUGUGGUAAGUCAGUUUAUGUCCUCUCCUACUAUUGCCCAGUGGGAUGCUCUGGGACAGAUUCUUUGUUACCUUAAAGGGGCCUCAGGGCGAGGCCUAUUCUAUGGUAACCACGGGCACUCAAAUAUUGAAUGCUUUUCUGAUGCUGAUUGGGCAGACUCGAAAGUUGAUAGGAGGUCAACUACCGGGUAUUGUGUUUUUGUGGGAGGUAACUUGGUCUCGUGGAAAAGUAAAAAGCAAAAUGUGGUCUCCCGUUCUAGUGUCGAAUCUGAAUAUCGAGCCAUGGCACAAGCCGUUUGUGAAAUCUUGUGGGUACGUCAACUGUUGGAAGACGUUGGGUUCAUAAAUUCGGUGCCUGCUAAGUUGUGGUGUGUUAAUCAAACAGCUAUCCACAUUGCCUCCAAUCCAGUAUUUCACCGGAGGACUAAACACAUCGAGAUUGAUUGUCAUUUUGUUCGUGAAAAGGUCCAACAAAAAAUAAUAUCAACAGGACAUAUCCGAACUGGAGAACAAUUAGGAGAUAUUUUCAUUAAAGCUCUAAAUGGGACUCGAGUUGAUUAUAUAUGUAACAAGUUGGACAUGAUUAAAAUUUAUGAUCCAACUUGGGGGGAGUGUUAUAAGUUAUAGAAAGUAAAUAUGUUAAUAUAGGAAGUAAAUAUUGAUAGAUGGGUCAGUUGCUUAAUUUUAGAGAUUGUAUAAUCAUAGGGUUGAUUUUCCUUUCUAUUUAGAUACCAUCUCUCAUGUAUAAAUAGCUUGUAAUCUCUAUUGUGAAAUACAACAACAAAUAUUAUCUUUCUACAUUCUCGAAGCUGUAAUCGCUUAAUUAUCUAUGUUUUUAAUCACAUUAGUUAGUUAGGGGUGAGGUAGAGCAACUUUUGCUUGAUUUAUGUAUAUUUCUAAUCACAUUGGUUAGUUAGGGGUGUGGUAGAGCACCCUUCGCUCUAUUAUCUAUAUUUCUAAUCACAUUUGUUGGUUAGGGGUGGAGUAGAGCAACCUUCUAGAAAAUAUCUUUGUCUUGUUCUUUGUCAAGAUGUGUGAUGGGGUUUUUGAUCACAUAUUGGUCCUGGGUUCCGCAUUAGUUGGUAUCAGAGCACGGUGAUAGAUAAAUUCCUAUUUAUCUAUAUUUAUUUGUUUCAUAAGUUUUUUUAUUUUUUUUCUAAAAAAUUUUUUUCUUUGUUCUUUUCUUUUCCUUUUUGGGUUUAUCAAAUUUUUUUCUAAGAAAUCCCGCAUCAUAUAAGCUAUUAUGCAGGCUACUAUUGUCAAUCAUCUUUCCUCUGAGAAGAUCCUGAAUAACACAAUGAUCAGAAAAGAAUUUAAUUUUACAGAUAAGAGCAUUGGUGAUAGAACUGACAGAAUAAAGGUUGACAGGAAAACGGGAAAUAUGAAGGACAGAUGGUAAUUUAAUAUUGGGUGUACAAAUAACAGAACUUGUUCCGGAUAUGAGAGUAAAAGAGUAAUAACCAAUUCUAACACUAUCUUUGGUUAAAAAAGGAAAAUAAUUGAGAAAACCUUUGGAAGAGUCUGUCAUAUGUCUAUUUGCACCAGAACCAAUAAUUCAUGGAACAAUAUCAAGAGAGGAAGCAUUACAUGACUUUACAAAGUUAGAUGUGGUACCAGAGAAGGAAUAAGUGUCAAUAUGAGACAAGAGGCUCUUGAGACUCUGAAUUUCAAUAGGGGAAAGGAACUCAGCCGCUGUUGUCUCCUUAAAGGGCUCCUUCACAGUUUCUGCCAAAUUAGUUUGAGUUCUCGAGGUAUUAUAUUUCUCCCCACGGCCUCUAGUCGGACGACCAUGUAACUUUCAGUAAGUCUCCUUGGUAUAUCUCGGUUUUUCACAAUAGUACAAUGCAGGUGAUCUUUCUCAGAAUUAGGAGGCUGUAGUGUGCUCAAACUAGUAGCCAAUCCAGCCUUUUCAAUUGGUGCAGUAUAGAGCAUAACAUGUUGAUGACUUUUCUCUUGGUGAACAUGGGCAUGGGCCUCCUCCAGAGAAGAAAAAUGAUUUUUUUCUCAACACUUGGAUCCGAAUUGGAUCAUAUUCGUUAUUCAACCCUGCAAUAAAAUUGUUAAAUUUGGGUCAGGCCUAACUCACCUCCAAGAGUUAGCUCAAGGGGGAGGAGUGCCUAUGGCCCAUAUAAGAGGCACAUUACCCAUUUCCCCAACCGAUGUGGAAUUCAACACACCCCCUCACGCCUAGAAUUUCACUAGUGCGUGACAUAUUUAUGGGAGGCCCAACAUCGGAUGGAGAGGCUCUGAUACCAUGUUAAAUUUAGGCUAGGCCUAACUCACUCCCAAAAGCUAGCUCAAGGGGGAGGAGUGUCUAUAGCCCAUAUAAGGACACAUUACCCCUUUCCACAGUUGAUGUGGGAUUCAACAAAAAUCAUAGACCCGCUCCUUUUCAAUUAUUCUCCGAAAUUUGACUGCAUCUCCAGUACAGUUUGCCUGGAAGUCCUGAUAAUAAUCAAAUUUCUGCCAUAAGCCAUAUAACUCAGAAUGAAAUUGUUGAGAUAGUCAUUUCUCCUUGCUUAGUACUAUGGAUCUUAUUCCGAAUAUCACAAAUUUAGACAUCAUUCCCAAUCUUGGAAUAAGUUAAGGACAAAACUUUCAAUAUCUUUGCAGCAGUAUCAAUUAACAAAUAGAAUUUAAAGAUAUGAGGUUGCAUAAAGUAAUUAUGUCAUAACAAGAUAAUUAUCCGAGUCUCACUGAGGAAAAUCUGGAUCACUCUCAUCCAGUUGCUUCUUAUUACCAGUGACAUAGCCCUGCAGUCUUUUAGUUUUGAUAAACAGCAAACAAGAUCUUGACCAAGCAAGAUAAUUGGUUCUAUUAAGUUUUACGGGACUAAUUUGCAAGAAAGGAUUAUCACAGUUAGGAAUCAAGACUAUUUUACCUUCUGUCAUGGUAAAAAUAAAUGAACCAUGAAAGAAUAGGAGGUACCCAAGGUUGUACACAUAAGAUAGCCCAACCGAAUCACCAAAAGACCAGGUAGCAGCACAAGAAGGCCGGAAAGACAGUCAGAAUUGGCGCUGGAGUUAUCGGAGUAGCAAAGCAACGUCGAAUGAUGUCUCACAUGCCGGAAAGGGAGGGCGCGUGAGCCUCACGCGUGGGAUUUUUUGGCGUCGGAGCUGGGCAGUUGGGCCUGCGAUGGUUCGACGAUUCUCCUGGUGCCGGCAGUGAGAGGUGGAAAGGUUCUUAGAUAGGGUAGUGCCGAAAAGGUAGAUCUAGAGUUUUGAAACCUUAAAGAGAAAAAAUUGAAUUUAAAUCCUAAAAUCAGGAAAAAAACUCUGAUACCAUGAAGAAUUUUAGAGAAUUUUAGAGUAUUCUUGUAUUUCACUCUUGAUCUUUACAAGUGAUUUACAUAACUAUUUAU
Molecule: long non-coding RNA, 10320 nt
Filed under: Manihot esculenta (cassava)
Lineage: Eukaryota; Viridiplantae; Streptophyta; Magnoliopsida; Malpighiales; Euphorbiaceae
Description: long non-coding RNA (MESC_LNC003308)
Source: RNAcentral